UACGUAGGGUGCGAGCGUUAAUCGGAAUUACUGGGCGUAAAGCGUGCGCAGGCGGUGCGCCAAGCUCGAUGUGGAAGCCCCGGGCUUAACCUGGGAAUUGCAUUGAGGACUGGCGUGCUCGAGUGCGGCAGAGGGGGGUGGAAUUCCACGUGUAGCAGUGAAAUGCGUAGAGAUGUGGAGGAACACCGAUGGCGAAGGCAGCCCCCUGGGCCGACACUGACGCUCAGGCACGAAAGCGUGGGGAGCAAACAGG
RNAcentral lists this ribosomal RNA (253 nucleotides) under uncultured bacterium. RNAcentral's name for it is "partial 16S ribosomal RNA". It matches the Rfam family "Bacterial small subunit ribosomal RNA", at positions 524 to 776 of the family's 1533-position model. The record is from RNAcentral.